RNAcentral lists this long non-coding RNA (219 nucleotides) under Dendronephthya gigantea. Its description in RNAcentral is "uncharacterized LOC114528810". The record is from RNAcentral. Lineage: Eukaryota; Metazoa; Cnidaria; Anthozoa; Malacalcyonacea; Nephtheidae.
GAGUGAUUGACAGUCAGUUUUCAAGACCAUGUGGACGAUACGGUGGCAAGGAAAUUCGCUCUUCGUUGCAAAAAAAGAAAACCAGGCCGAAAUCCGUCGACGAAAGCUGGAUUCAAUGGUCGUGAAUUGAACAUUGUGAUGAUGGAGAAAUGCUACCAUUUUGCAUGCAAAUACAAAAUCUAAAAUAAAAUUCAAACCAGACAUUUUAUGCAAUAAAAA